This 188-nucleotide small nucleolar RNA is filed under the name Verticillium alfalfae VaMs.102. Lineage: Eukaryota; Fungi; Ascomycota; Sordariomycetes; Glomerellales; Plectosphaerellaceae. The record is from RNAcentral.
CCGUCUCUUGCCAUGCUCGGUCAGUCAGCCCCCAGCUUCUGAUCUUGAGCCGGAUACACCCUGUCGACCCCCCCUAGGGAGGAUGAUGGGGUUGUACGAGACGAGAAUAUCUUCAGGCAACUAUCUUUGAGUGCGGAACCUGUCUCUUCCAACAUGGAGGAUUUCGCAAUUAAUCAGUUGGCACAUCC